AUCACUUCUCUGCCUUUUGGCUAAAAUCAAGUUUAGUAUCUGUUCUUACCCAUAGCAUGUGAUCAACAAUGACUCAGCUUGAUGUCAGAGACAAGCAUGACUUACC
This is a small nuclear RNA of Ictalurus punctatus (channel catfish), 106 nucleotides long. Its record names the gene U2. It matches the Rfam family "U2 spliceosomal RNA". From Rfam's summary of the family: U2 is a small nuclear RNA (snRNA) component of the spliceosome (involved in pre-mRNA splicing). Complementary binding between U2 snRNA (in an area lying towards the 5' end but 3' to hairpin I) and the branchpoint sequence (BPS) of the intron results the bulging out of an unpaired adenosine, on the BPS, which initiates a nucleophilic attack at the intronic 5' splice site, thus starting the first of two transesterification reactions that mediate splicing. Lineage: Eukaryota; Metazoa; Chordata; Actinopteri; Siluriformes; Ictaluridae. The record is from Ensembl.